RNAcentral lists this ribosomal RNA (270 nucleotides) under uncultured bacterium. RNAcentral's name for it is "partial 16S ribosomal RNA". It matches the Rfam family "Bacterial small subunit ribosomal RNA", at positions 28 to 297 of the family's 1533-position model. The record is from RNAcentral.
GAUGAACGCUAGCGGCAGGCCUAAUACAUGCAAGUCGAGGGGCAGCGGGGUAGCAAUACUGCCGGCGACCGGCGCACGGGUGCGUAACACGUAUGCAACCUACCUUCAACAGGGAGAUAGCCCGGGGAAACUCGGAUUAAUAUUCCAUAACACAGGGGACCCACAUGGGUAUAUUGUUAAAGCUCAGGCGGUUGAAGAUGGGCAUGCGUCCGAUUAGCUAGUUGGCGGGGUAAUGGCCCACCAAGGCUACGAUCGGUAGGGGGUCUGAGA